AAUAACAUUAAAUAAAAUUAGUUUAACCAAUAAAAAAAAAUACAAUAUUUUAUAAUUGGUCACAAUUUUUUAAUGACAUUAAAUUUUAUCUAUAAUAACGAGAACAUCACAUAAUAUGAAACAAAAUUAAUUAAAAUCCCUAAACACCACUUGUGAUACGGAGAAAAUAUUAUUUUCCCGACUAAACCAGUUGCCAGGCCCGUCUCUUAAUCUACAGCCACAUGAUUUUAGCUUUAAAAUUUUCAUAAACCUAAUCUUGUUUCUUCCACAUGAUUUCUUCGCAGACCACAUCACAGAUUUUCUCUCUUCCUCUCAGUCAACUAUUUAUUUCUAUUGUUCUAUAACUCUCUAACUCGAUUUUCUCUUCUAACUUUUUGUCAAGUAAGAUCUCUCUUCACGAAAAUGCUCAAUCUUCCUUUGCAUCUUCCAGUCUCAUCUAAGUCAAUUUGGGUUUAGGUGUAUACUUAGAUUAAAACACAAUCCCCUAAGCUAUUUGUGGAUUGAUUGUUUAAUAGGAAUCGCUUUUUGAGUGCUUGUUUCGGUGCUCUUGAAGCUCUGCCAAGUGCUUGUGAAAAUUCCUGCCUUUCGUAUGUCACAAUCUUGCGAGAAUCUUUACGCAUACCUUCUGAAGGCAUCAAACUCAUCUUACUUCAGGAGCAACGAGGCCAGUUACUUCCGCCUCUUCUCUACAUCCACUUCCUAGCUUAGCGGCAGUGACGAGUGCACCAGAGAAACGUAACAUGCCCUUUCUCCAUCCACGAAGACUCAAUAGAGGUUUAUGCAUUCGGUGGUGGUGAAGGUAGAAAAACAAGGAUAUUGGGAAUGAGCAAAGAAAGAAAACAAUGAAAAAUAACAAAUCAAUCACUGUCAACAAAUACAAGAAGAAAAUGAAAGUAGAAGCAAACGAAGAUCGUUUUAUAAAAAAGGUUCAAAAUAAGUUCCAUUGUGACAAGAGGCAAGAAGGAUGGUUAAACUAUGUAUCUCAAAUUCAUUGUAAUUAUUUUAUUAUAUUUUCUGUAAAUGGAAAACAUUUUGAAAGUCUCAUUUUCUUUUGUUAAACUUGGUAAAAAUCGGUAUUCAUGUUAUUUUUGUUUGUCAAACUUUGUGAAGAUUGGUAUUAUUUUGUUAUCUAUGUUUGUUUAACUUGGUAUUACUUUGUCAAAGUUUUCCAUUUUGUUUGGAACUUGGUAUUACUUAGGCAUUUUUGUUUGUGGAACUAAGACUUUGAAUUGCACCAGGACAGAAGCAGGAGAGAUGCAGAGGAAAAGUAAUUACAGAAUGAACUGCAUUUAUCACUCAUUCAAUAGUUAAAAUGCAGAACUUGUCACACACAUUUUGGAUGUUAUUUUAUUGCCAUACCCUUUGUCUACACUUAACUUGUCAAAACUAAAAGCAAACUAAGAAAAACACAUAGUCAGCUAAAGAUUCCGCUGUUUCCAUUUUAAUAAAGACAAUAACCAAUCCAACCCAAACCACUCUUCCCCCUUUCAUCUUCGCUGCAAUAAAAUCAAAAGCCCUAGUUUCUCAUAAACUCCACUACUCUCUCAUUUUUCUCAAUCGGUGGGAGAAAAUCAUCCCUAAUUAAGACCUCAUUCCAAUUUCAAGCACCGACCAUUAUCUCCAAUCUGAUUCCGGUGGAAGAACCUCAAAGUAACCUGAUUCAGGUAUUGGUCAAGAACCUCUCUCCUCACUAUAUGUUGGAUGGAGAGAUCAUCUUCAUCUUCGUUACCCUCCCGUCAAUGAUGUCUUGCGGCAAGUUGAGAGGAGGUUACGUCAUCUUCAUCUUCUUCACCCUCCCUAAGCGAGAGUUUCGUCGGCGCCUCUCCUGCCGGACCUCCACCGAUGACGGCGACGCGGAUGUUACAGUUAACAAGCUUGGGACUGGCUCUGGAUGUGGUUACUUUGAGAGAUCUUCAUAAUUGGAGUCAAGAGUCCCCGACGUGGAAGGUCAGUAUCUCCGUAAGCAUGUUUAAAGUUCUUAACUUUCAAUAAUCAUCGAUUCAAAAAAGUUUCUUUUACAAUUAAUGAUUAAAAAGUUCUUCUCAAGCUUUUAAAGUUGAAGCUUUCUUUUAUGCUUAGAUUUCAAAUAUUACUGGAUUCUUAAGCUAUCUAUAGUUCACAAUUUUAAUUUUCUUUUAUGAGUAGAUUAUAAAUAAUACACCAUUUCCAAAGUUCAUUCUUAAGCUAAACUCAGGGAGAAACUUGAAAAGAAGAUAAAGAUAACAACAAGAACAAAAGCGAUGAAGACAAGAACAUCAAAAUAAUACAAAGGAGAAGAAACCCAAAGCGGUGUUGGUAAAACUACAACGAGUACAAAGCAUGCUUAUUAUCAUCAGAAGAAAGACUACAAACCAGCUCUAGUAUGUGUGGAUACUCUCAGGGCUGGUGUGAUCCAUCAACUGAAACAGAUUGCUACCAAGGCGGUGUGUGGAUAGCUGGUACGUGGAUGGGUUCUGUGUGGACGGUUGAUGUGGGGAUGGGUGAUAUGUGGAUGGGGCGUCGUGGUAUUGCUCAGUGUGGACAAGAUCUCCGAGGACUAGUGGGUGCAGGUGAGCCGUCCAUAACCAAUUGACCGAUUAAUAACAUUGCAGUUGAUGUUACAACAGUGGGAGCUAUGUCAUAGUUAUAAAUCUGCAUACAAAGACCUCUUUUGGUGUCCUAUAUGUAACAUUUUUUGUUUCCUCUUUUGAGUUUACAGUAUAGAUUGUUAUUUUGUAGUUGCAUAUCACUCCAAUCUAUUAUGCAACUUGCACUACAAGAAAACAUUUAAUUA
Molecule: long non-coding RNA, 2773 nt
Organism: Brassica napus (rape)
Lineage: Eukaryota; Viridiplantae; Streptophyta; Magnoliopsida; Brassicales; Brassicaceae
Exons: 3
Source: RefSeq, a predicted model, not a curated record